This 236-nucleotide ribosomal RNA is filed under the name uncultured bacterium. RNAcentral describes it as "partial 16S ribosomal RNA". It matches the Rfam family "Bacterial small subunit ribosomal RNA", at positions 28 to 257 of the family's 1533-position model. The record is from RNAcentral.
GAUGAACGCUGGCGGCGUGCCUAAUACAUGCAAGUCGAACGAGGUGCUUUUGUAGCAAUACGGAAGUAUCCUAGUGGCGAACGGGUGAGUAACGCGUUGGUGACCUACCCCAAAGUGUGGGAUAACAGUCCGAAGGAUUGCUAAUACCGCAUGUGGUCAUCGGGUUUAGAAACCGAUGUCUAAAGGAGCAAUUCGCUUUGGGAGGGGACCUGCGUCCCAUCAGCUAGUUGGGAGGU